This 497-nucleotide ribosomal RNA is filed under the name uncultured bacterium. Its description in RNAcentral is "partial 16S ribosomal RNA". It matches the Rfam family "Bacterial small subunit ribosomal RNA", at positions 28 to 507 of the family's 1533-position model. The record is from RNAcentral.
GAUGAACGCUGGCGGCGUGCCUAAUACAUGCAAGUCGAGCGAACAGACGAGGAGCUUGCUCCUCUGACGUUAGCGGCGGACGGGUGAGUAACACGUGGAUAACCUACCUAUAAGACUGGGAUAACUUCGGGAAACCGGAGCUAAUACCGGAUAAUAUAUUGAACCGCAUGGUUCAAUAGUGAAAGACGGUUUUGCUGUCACUUAUAGAUGGAUCCGCGCCGCAUUAGCUAGUUGGUAAGGUAACGGCUUACCAAGGCAACGAUGCGUAACCGACCUGAGAGGGGGAUCGGCCACACUGGAACUUGGACACGGUCCAGACUCCUACGGGAGGCAGCAGUAGGGAAUCUUCCGCAAUGGGCGAAAGCCUGACGGAGCAACGCCGCGUGAGUGAUGAAGGUCUUCGGAUCGUAAAACUCUGUUAUUAGGGAAGAACAAAUGUGUAAGUAACUAUGCACGUCUUGACGGUACCUAAUCAGAAAGCCACGGCUAACUACGUG